Lagenorhynchus albirostris (white-beaked dolphin) is the source of this 491-nucleotide long non-coding RNA. RefSeq lists it as uncharacterized. Lineage: Eukaryota; Metazoa; Chordata; Mammalia; Artiodactyla; Delphinidae. The transcript has 3 exons. The record is from RefSeq and is a predicted model, not a curated record.
AGGGCUUCUGGAGGAAAGACUGGAAUCCAGAAUCCGGGCUUUCCCAGGCCAAGGGGAGGCCCUGGUUAGAAGAAAGCAAGAGGGGGUGAUUUUUAAGGCCCUUGCCCAUGGUCCACCCAGCAGGGAGGCCACAAGAAUCAGCCAGCUGAAGAGAAACAAACCAUUCCUAUCAGCCUAACAAGCUACUGACACUGUCUUCGUGAGAGAGACUCAUACUUGCAUUUCUCUUCCUCCAUGAAGAGUGUCAAACCAAAGACAAUGGGGACCCCAGCUGAUUCUGCAGCCUCUCCCGCCAAACACAUCUCUGAACACGUUCUCAUUGAUAACUUCCCUAUUUUCCCAGCAAGAUGGGGCACCAAAGAAGUAGAGCCAUCCCCAAGAGGAAGGGUUACCCUGUGAAGCGUGACCUCCCACUCACCUUGCGUCUUCAAAAAAAGAGAAGAUGACAACCCACUAUGAUGGGGAGGGAUCUCUAUAUUGGUGACAGGCCA